Molecule: ribosomal RNA, 254 nt
Filed under: uncultured bacterium
Lineage: Bacteria
Description: partial 16S ribosomal RNA
Rfam family: Bacterial small subunit ribosomal RNA
Source: RNAcentral
UACGUAGGGUGCAAGCGUUAUCCGGAAUUAUUGGGCGUAAAGAGCUCGUAGGCGGUUUGUCGCGUCUGCUGUGAAAACUGGAGGCUCAACCUCCAGCCUGCAGUGGGUACGGGCAAACUAGAGUGCGGUAGGGGAGAUUGGAAUUCCUGGUGUAGCGGUGGAAAUGCGCAGAUAUCAGGAGGAACACCGAUGGCGAAGGCAGGUCUCUGGGCAUUAACUGACGCUGAGGAGCGAAAGCAUGGGGAGCGAACAGG